Molecule: long non-coding RNA, 1403 nt
Organism: Musa acuminata AAA Group (dessert banana)
Lineage: Eukaryota; Viridiplantae; Streptophyta; Magnoliopsida; Zingiberales; Musaceae
Exons: 3
Source: RefSeq, a predicted model, not a curated record
CUCUGGCCCUUGUUUGAGAAGCGUACACAAAGGCACACAUGGGGUAUCAUCAAAGAACACUCUUUGCUGUCGUCUCCGUUCUCUGCAUGCUGAUCUCACGACCCGCCACUGUGCAGUCGGUGUCGCACGGUGCUCCUCGUUCACUUAUAGUUAAUGGUGUAGAGGUCAUUCAUCCAGAUCCUUCCCCUUCCCAAUGCACCAUAGUUAAUGGUAAAAAGGUAUGUGAUCCUCCGAUUCCUGGGCACGAAAGCCGCGGAAAUCCCGGCAAACCGACGCUCCCGUGAGCCGUAAGCCAAGACAGUCUUAAGUGCAGGAAUGAGUGGAUUAUGUCUCCAACUAUAUGUUUCCUUUUGUAAUCAAUCCUCCGUUAGCAUCUGCUCGUUCGGCUUGUAUACCUUCAAAGCCAAAAUUUUCAGAAUUCUCUCCAAAUGAGUGCAGUUCCAGGGAGCAAUCGAAAUAACAGGAAUUACAUCGUUUAUGAGCUACAGCAGUGUUACAGUAACACGAACGAUUGUUAUUUUGUUAUUUGGAAGAGAAAAUUUUAUUUACAUAAAUCCAUGAAGAAGGGAGUAUUGGUGCACGGUCUGAUGCAGUGAAUUAGUUAACGGUAGGAGUAUUGAUACUCACUCUCUAGUUCUCCUUGCAGAUUGAUAUUUCAGAUCUGACGAUGGAGAUGUUUGUAGAUCAGAUAAGGUUUAUUCUUCUGAACAACAAUAAAGACGGCUAAACUAUGAAAAAUUCCACAAGAAAAUUGGUGCAGUCAAUCACGCCCCUGGAAAAGUCUUUGAAAUGUUGCACACGAUUCUUCUGCUCAGGAUCGAGCCAGCCCCAUAUAUAUCCACAUACACCAUCGCGUUUCGAAGAGUGGGCAAGCGUGGGAGCCUUGCAGCAGGUCGCCUCUCCAAACCUAUACAAGCAAAAGCGAACGAGUGAGGAGCAUGACGUCUCAUGAUAGUCGAAGAAGAAGAAGAGGACUUGCCGUUCUCGCUUUCGUUGCCUCCAUAUUCUGGUUGCUGGCAUCGCAGUCCAUUUGCGACGGCCGAGUGUUGAACUAUUCGAUUGAUCCGAGCUUGUGGUUGGUGCUUCUUCUCCAAGGCCUUAUUACACCGCCUACAUCGCCUGCACCGUCUACGCCAUCCGGUUGCAGUACGCCUGAAGGUAUUAAGAGAUGUAAUCCUUCCUCGGGGGUCAGCAAUCCUAAACCUCAUCCACCAGCCACGCUUGCAGUAUCAACUCCGCCUUAACCAAGCAUGACAUGACGGCUGGCCUUUCAAGUCCUUCCGCCACCACCACCACUACUACUCUCUCUCUCUCUCUCUCUCUCUCUCUUUCUCUCUUCCCAUGCUCUAUCAUGUGUCUAUGACAUGUACGACAUAAUUAAAAUAAAUUGGAUUAUUGUGUUA